This 3936-nucleotide long non-coding RNA is filed under the name Gallus gallus (chicken). Lineage: Eukaryota; Metazoa; Chordata; Aves; Galliformes; Phasianidae. The record is from RNAcentral.
GUGCCCUCAUUGGGGUCACCACUUUGCACGCUUAUGGUGAAGGACUCACGCAUUGCACGGCACACGUGUGCAACGCGGGUGUGAAAUGAAGGUCUUGUGCAGGGCACUUGUGCAACGAGGCACUUGUGCAACGCACGGGGCCGUGCAAGGAAGCACUUGUGCAAUGCACGAUGCUGCUUUGCACGGAGGCUCUUGUGCAUUGCACGGCGCUGCAUGCUGCAUACGGACGUGCAACAACACGCUUGUGCAACACGUAGCGCCGUGCAACGCACACUCAUUUGCACUGCGUGCUUUGCACGGCGGCCCUCUUUGCACGGCAGCCCCCGUGCAAUGCACGCUGGAGGACUUUUGCAGCGUGCAAUGGUGUGCAAUGCAGCAGCUGUUGCACGGCAGCCCUCGUGCAAGGCAUGGGGUGGGGGUGUGCAACGCCCCUCCGUGUGCAACAUCCCCUCGUGCAACGCCGUGUGGCCAUCGUGAGCUCCGGGUGGGCGUGCAAGAGGUGGACGUGGAAGGAAGCCCGGAUCCUCGUGCGACGGCGUCCCCUUGUGCAACGAACGGUGGCUCCAGUGCAAUGGUGGCCUCGUGCAACGAUGGUCCUUGUGCAACACCAGAUCUUGUGCGACGUGGGAGCUCGUGCAACACCUGACCUCGUGCACAUGGGGCCUCGUGCAACAUGGAGCCUUGUGCAACGCCAGAUCUUGUGCAACAUGGGGCCUCAUGCAUCAGUGGUCCUUGUGCAACACGGGGCCUCGUGCAACAUGGGGCCUCGUGCAACGCCAGUACUUGUGCAACAUGGGGCCUUGUGCCACAUGGAGCCUCGUGCAACGACAGAUCUUGAGCGACGUGGGGCCUCGUGCAACAGCAGAUCACAUGCAACGCAGGGCCUCGUGCAGCACCGGUCCUUGUGCAACGCAGAGUCACGUGCAACGCCAGAUCUCGUGCAACAGGGAGCCUCAUGCAUCAGUGGUCCUUGUGCAACACGGGGCCUUGUGCAACGUGGAGCCUCGUGCAACAACAGAUCUUGAGCGACGUGGGGCCUCGUGCAACGCCAGAUCUCGUGCAACACGGGGCCUCGUGCAGCGCUGGUCCUUGUGCAAUGCGGGGCCUCGUGCAACGCCAGAUCUCGUGCAACAGGGAGCCUCAUGCAUCAGUGGUCCUUGUGCUACACGGGGCCUCGUGCAACAUGGGGCCUCGUGCAACAACAGAUCUCGUGCAAUGCUGGUCUUUGUGCAACGCGGGGCCUCGUGCAACAUAGGGCCUCGUGCAACACCAGAUCUUGUGCAACAUGGGGCCUCAUGCAUCAGUGGUCCUUGUGCAACACGGGGCCUCGUGCAACACCAAAUCUUGAGCGACGUGGGACCUCGUGCAACACCAGAUCUUGUGCAACGCGGGGCCUUGUGCAACAUGGAGCCUCGUGCAACACCGGUCCUUGUGCAACACGUGCGGGGCCUCGUGCAACAGCAGAUCUCGUGCAACACGCGGCCUCAUGCAGCGCUGGUCCCUGUGCAACACGGGGCUUCGUGCAACAUGGAGCCUCGUGCAGCAUGGGGCCUCCUGCAACGCUGGUCCUUGUGCAACAUGGGGCCUCGUGCAACACCAGAUCUCGUGCAACGCUGGUCCUUGUGCAACACCAGAUCUUGAGCGACGUGGGACCUCGUGCAACACCAGAUCUCGUGCAACGGGGAGCCUCAUGCAUCACCGUUCCUAGUGCAACACGGGGCCUCGUGCAACAACAGAUCUUGAGCGACAUGGGGCCUCGUGCAACACCAGAUCUCGUGCAACAGGGAGCCUCCUGCAUCACCAUUCCUAGUGCAACACGGGGCUUCGUGCAACAUGGAGCCUCGUGCAAUGCUGGUCUUUGUGCAACGCGCGGCCUCGUGCAACAUAGGGCCUCGUGCAACAACAGAUCUUGAGCGACAUGGGGCCUCAUGCAACACCAGAUCUCGUGCAACGUGGGCCUUGUGCAACACCGGUCCUUGUGCAAGGCACGACCUUGUGCAGCACCAAACCUCGUGCAACAUGGAGCCUCGUGCAACACCAGACGUUGUGCAUCGCUGGGCCUCGUGCAACACCAGACCUUGUGCAAGGCAGGACCUCGUGCAGCACCAAACCUUGUGCAAUGGGGGGCCUUGUGCAACACCAGUGCUCGUGCAACGUGGGCCUUGUGCAACACCGGUCCUUGUGCAAGGCAGGACCUCCUGCAGCACCAAACCUCGUGCAACGGGGGGCCUUGUGCAACACCAGACCUUGUGCAACGCGGGGCCUCGUGCAACACACCCUCGUGCAGCUGCAAAACGUGUGAGAGGCACAAACACUCCGCGGCUCCGUGCAACACGGGGCCUUGUGCAACGGACACGUGCAACGUGCAGCUGCCCUCACACUCGGACUCGUGCUCGGGCCUCGUGCGCCUCGGACUUGUGCACGCCGUGCAACGGACUUGUGAGGUGCGGGGCCUCGUGCAAGAACUUCGUGUGAUGCAGGGCCUUUUGCAACUGUAUUGUGCAACACAGGGACUUGUGCAACGCUAUGGUGCACGCGGGGUCUUGUGCAACGCUAUGGUGCAACAGGGGGUCUUGUGCAAGGCAAUGGUGCAACAACACUGGGCCUUGUGCAGCUGUAUUGUGCAACACAGGGUCUUGUGCAAGACAAUGGUGCAAUGCUGGGCCUUGUGCAACUGUAUCAUGCAACGCGGGGUCUUGUGCAAGGCAAUGGUGCAACAUGAGGUCCUGUGCAAGGCAAUGGUGCAACGCUGGACCUUGUGCAACACUAAGGUGCAACAUGGGGUCUUGUGCAACUGUAUUGUGCAACACAGGGUCUUGUGCAAGGCAGUGGUGCAACAGGGGGUCUUGUGCACGGCAAUGGUGCAGCAGUGGGCCUUGUGCACCUGGAUUGUGCAACACAGGGCCUUGUGCAACACUGGAGUGCCACAUGGGAUCGUGUGCAACGCAGUGGUGCACCCUCAUAGUGCAAAGCAGAUCCUUGUGCAACACCCCCAUGAAAGACCAGGCCUUGCACGGUGUCCUCGUGCAACAGCAGGUGGAUACACGGGGCCUCGUGCAAAGGCCUCGUGCAGCGACGUGCGGUGAAAGGCGCCCUCGUGCAAUGCCCUCGUGCAACACGGGGGCUCUUGUGCAAAGGCAUUGUGCAAAGGUGGGUCUUGUGCGACGCCAUCGUGCAAUGGUGCGGUUACAGAGUGCCUCGUGCAACCCUGCGGUGCAAAAUGCACGCUUGUGCAAAGGCCUCGUGCAACGGGCUGGCCUCUUGGAGAGGCUUCGUGCAACACCGGGCCUUGUGCAAUGCUCCUUGUGCAAUGGUGCGGUGGUGCAGGAGGCCUCGUGCAACACUACAGGGUAUUCGUGCAAAGGCCUCGUGCAGCAGCCGACUGUGGGAUCUGCCUCGUGCAAAGGCCUUGUGCAACGGCUUGUGCAACACUACAGAGGAAGCGGAGCUCUUGUGCAAGGCUCUCGUGCAACAGCGUGAAGCACACGUGAUGCAGCUGCAAGGAGUGGAUCCUUGUGCAACAGGAUGUGCUAGUGCAAGGGCUGGGUCAUCGUGCAACGGCCUGCUGCACCAGCCCUUGUGCAAGAGAUGGGCCCUUGUGCAACAGACCCGUGCAACAUCCCUGUGCAAGAGGUGACCCCUUGUGCAACACACUUGUGCACCACACCAUACCUGUGCAAGAGGCGGCCCUUUGUGCAAUGGACUUGUGCACCACUGCUUGUGCAAGAGGGCACGCUUGUGCACAGCUGCUUGUGCAAGAGGACUCCCAAUGUGCAACAGCCUUGCACUACACUCGUGCACCACCCCUCGUGCAACACUCUUACACACCACCCCUUGCACAACACCCCGUGUGCACCACCCCUCGUGCAAGAGGAGCCCCCUCGUGCAAAUGCCUUGCACACCACCCCUUGUGCAACGCCCUUGCACACCACCCCU